RNAcentral lists this ribosomal RNA (475 nucleotides) under Conchiformibius steedae. Its description in RNAcentral is "bacterial SSU rRNA". It matches the Rfam family "Bacterial small subunit ribosomal RNA", at positions 9 to 478 of the family's 1533-position model. The record is from RNAcentral. Lineage: Bacteria; Pseudomonadati; Pseudomonadota; Betaproteobacteria; Neisseriales; Neisseriaceae.
GAGUUUGAUUCUGGCUCAGAUUGAACGCUGGCGGCAUGCUUUACACAUGCAAGUCGAACGGCAGCGGGGAAGUGCUUGCACUUCUGCCGGCGAGUGGCGAACGGGUGAGUAAUGCAUUGGAACGUACCGGGUAAUGGGGGAUAACUUGCCGAAAGGUAAGCUAAUACCGCAUACGCUUUAAGAAGGAAAGCGGGGGAUCGUUUGACCUCGCGUUAUCCGAGCGGCCAAUGUCUGAUUAGCUAGUUGGUGGGGUAAAAGCCUACCAAGGCAACGAUCAGUAGCGGGUCUGAGAGGAUGAUCCGCCACACUGGGACUGAGACACGGCCCAGACUCCUACGGGAGGCAGCAGUGGGGAAUUUUGGACAAUGGGCGCAAGCCUGAUCCAGCCAUGCCGCGUGUCUGAAGAAGGCCUUCGGGUUGUAAAGGACUUUUGUACGGGAAGAAAAAGUUGUGGCUAAUACCCAUGACUGAUGAC